This 301-nucleotide ribosomal RNA is filed under the name uncultured bacterium. RNAcentral describes it as "partial 16S ribosomal RNA". It matches the Rfam family "Bacterial small subunit ribosomal RNA", at positions 509 to 807 of the family's 1533-position model. The record is from RNAcentral.
CAGUCGCCGCGGGAAUACGUAGGGUGCAAGCGUUAAUCGGAAUUACUGGGCGUAAAGCGUGCGCAGGCGGUUUGUUAAGACAGAUGUGAAAUCCCCGGGCUCAACCUGGGAACUGCAUUUGUGACUGGCAAGCUAGAGUAUGGCAGAGGGGGGUGGAAUUCCGCGUGUAGCAGUGAAAUGCGUAGAUAUGCGGAGGAACACCGAUGGCGAAGGCAGCCCCCUGGGCCAAUACUGACGCUCAUGCACGAAAGCGUGGGGAGCAAACAGGAUUAGAUACCCGUGUAGUCCCUGUCUCUUAUAC